UUAAAACCUCAGUUUAGUCCCAUUUUGAUUUUGGAGUGAAACAUCAUUCGGUCCGUGUCCGUGCUGCGGACAGAGCCUGGGAAGGGAUCCGGGACCGUGUGGGGGACGGAUGGACAUCGUGAAAGUGGAACCGGAUUCAUGGGACCCGGAACCUGCACCGACCGAACAACCAGAACUGCUGGACAAGAUGAAGAUAGAAGCUGAAGUUUUAAAUGAUUUGAAGACAAAAGAACUCUUGAACAUCAUUGAGGUUGAACCUGGAGCUCUGAAGGCCAUCAAUAAAAAAGGUUUUGAUUCGAUGAAGAGAGAACCUGAAGCUUUGGAAGAUGGUCAUGUAAAAGAAAUUUUGAACCCAUUGAAGGUGGAACUUGAAGAUUUAGAUGCUGUGGCUGCAAAAGGGAAACAAAUGGAGCUUUGCCAGACGAAUCUCAACGCACUGUUCCAAGAGGAUUGUUUUGUGCAAGUCCAACACGAUAUAUACACAGAAAAGCGUUUGAGAGACAAGAAGUUCAAGUGCCGUCGUUGUUCUUUGAGUUUUGAUCACAAGAGUGAAAAACUGCUGGACAAGAUGAAGGUGGAAACUGGAGAUUUAAUUGACUUGGAGACAAAAGGUACUCUGUACCCGCUGUCUGCUGGCAGGCUGAACCCACACUCCAUGGGUGCUCCAACUGGGUGCCCUCACAUCCACGCACCAUAUGUGAGCCAAACCUACACUUCAUGGGCACGCCGACCCCACACUCCGUGGACAGUAAGCGCACCUCCAUCUCCUGAAUGAUCUCCUUUCUGCUCAGCUGGUGAGAGCUGGCACCGUGCGACCAUAAUGAAGCUCAUGGUCUUUGCUUUCCUUAAAUUUAAUGCCACUGUCUGCUUUUGGUGUAUUUCCUUAUUUAUGGAAUAUAUCCUCAUUUUUUUCUUGAAAUUUUGCUUCCAAGUUAGUAAUAAUUUGGCUCUGCUGUCCUCCAUUUUUGCAAAUUUCCCCGUGUUGCUAUUUGGGUUUUCAUUUGGACGAAAAAUAUAACAGAACACGAUGGAUCUGGUCUGGGAAACUUAGCAUUAAGGAAGAGGAAGGAGCAGCUACAGAUUCAACCUGUAUGUGGAGCAAACCCCGAACCAGAAGUCUUAAAACCUAAAAAUAGGAGCAAUACCCCUGGGUGCUCACCGAGUAGUGGCUGGAUAAGAAAACCCAGGAACUACUGGUAGGCGUGGAUGACCCACAAAAUGUGUAACGGAAAAGAAAGUAAAUACCUAUGGAUUUUUUGAAAUGCCAUGAACAAACUUUGGUACAUCACGGGUGAUGAAGGUUGUGGUCAAGUUUCAUUGAAAUUGGGUGUGUGGUUUUGGAGAAGAAAGCAAAUUCACAUUUUGGAGGACAACCCUCAUCGAGAACCCAAUUUUUUUAAUGUCGUGAACAAACUUUGGUACAUUACAUUUGGUGAAGGUUGUGGUCAAGUUUCAUCGAAAUUAGGUAUGUGGUUUCGGAGAAGUAAGCAAAUACACAUUUUGGAAGACAACCCUCAUCGAGAACCCAAUUUUUUUAAUGGCGUGAACAAACUUUGGUACAUUACAGAUGGUGAAGGUUGUGGUCAAGUUUCAUCGAAAUUGGGUGUGUGGUUUUGGAGAAGAAAGCAAAUUCACAUUUUGGAGGACAACCCUCAUCGAGAACCCAAUUUUUUUAAUGUCGUGAACAAACUUUGGUACAUUACAGAUGGUGAAGGUUGUGGUCAAGUUUCAUUGAAAUUGGGUGUGUGGUUUUGGAGAAGAAAGCAAAUUCACAUUUUGGAGGACAACCCUCAUCGAGAACCCAAUUUUUUUAAUGUUAUGAACAAACUUUAGUACAUCACGGGUGAUGAAGCUUGUGGUCAACUUUUAUCAGAAUUGUGUUUGUAGUUUUGGAGAAGAAAGCAAAUACCUCUUUUGGGGGGAAACCUCCUCAUAGACCCCUUUAUACCACAAAUUUUUUUUAAUGGUGUAAGGAAACUUUGGUACAUCACAGGUUGUGAAAGUUGUGGUUAAGUUUCAUUGAAAUUGUGUGUGUAGUUUCGGAGAAGAAAGCAAAUAUAUAUUUUGGGGGUCAUGCAACCCCCCCACCCCCCAUACCACCUUAGACCCUGAUUUUUUUAAUUUAUCUUUCUUUUAUGUCAUGAACAAACUUUGGUACAUCCAUCAUGGGUGAUAAAGGUUGUGAUCAAGUUUAAUCGGAAUUGCAUGUGUAGUUUCUGAGAAGAAAGAAAAUACCUGUUUUGGUGUGCAACUCCCUCAUAGCCCCCUUAUGGCCCGAGUUUUUUCAUUGCCAUGAAUAAACUUUGGUACAUUCCAGGUGAUGUAGAUUGUAGUAAAGUUUCACCAAAACUGUAUGUGUAGUUUCAGAGAAGAAGUUGCAAAUGUUUGUGGACGGACAGACUGACCGACGGACGAUGCACCAUCCCAUAAGCUCCUUGGAACGACGUAACAGGUGAGCUAAAAAAUGAAUUAAGUCGUUUUGAGAGGGUCUAUCAACGUAAAAAUAAAUGAGCAGUUUUUAGAAGGCUGGGUGUU
RNAcentral lists this long non-coding RNA (2535 nucleotides) under Eptatretus burgeri (inshore hagfish). RNAcentral's name for it is "lncRNA (ENSEBUG00000017181.1)". The record is from RNAcentral. Lineage: Eukaryota; Metazoa; Chordata; Myxini; Myxiniformes; Myxinidae.